AUUUAUAUAGUUUAUAUUUAAAACAUUACACUUUCAUUGUAAAAUUAGAAAUCUAAUUUCUUAUGAAUA
This 69-nucleotide transfer RNA is filed under the name Orsodacne cerasi. RNAcentral describes it as "tRNA-Glu". It matches the Rfam family "tRNA". Rfam says of the family: Transfer RNA (tRNA) molecules are approximately 80 nucleotides in length. Their secondary structure includes four short double-helical elements and three loops (D, anti-codon, and T loops). The record is from RNAcentral. Lineage: Eukaryota; Metazoa; Arthropoda; Insecta; Coleoptera; Orsodacnidae.